This 884-nucleotide long non-coding RNA is filed under the name Mustela putorius furo (domestic ferret). RNAcentral describes it as "lncRNA (ENSMPUG00000024524.1)". Lineage: Eukaryota; Metazoa; Chordata; Mammalia; Carnivora; Mustelidae. The record is from RNAcentral.
UUCAGGACUGGCUGUCGAAGCUUCUGGAGGACAUGGGAUCUCUCCCAUGUUCCCUGACGGGACCUGCUGUGGAGACUUUGAGGGAUUGUGGGUCCGCUUCCACACCAACAGGAGCCUGGUCUCCUCAGGACCCACUGUUGAGGCUUCCGGGGGAUGUGGGGCUGCGUCCACACCAACAGGACCCGCUGUGGAGGACACGGGGUCACAUCCACACCGACAGGACCGCUGUGGAGGACACGGGGUCGCGUCCACACCGACAGGACUGCUGUGGAGGCGGUGGGGCCGCGUCCACACCGACAGGACCCGCUGUGGAGGACGUCGGGUCACGUCCACACCGACAGGACUCCGGCGUUCUCAGGACCCGCCGCGGGAGGAGAAGAAAACCCUGGUCAUAAGAGAGCUGCCCGUGUUUACAAAUUGAAUGGAUGGACGUGGUCGUAUCUCAUCAGUCAGAUUAGAGUGCGGGAUAGAAUGUUCUACUCAGAGAAGUGUGUGGACAAAAGGCACUUUGGACUCCAAGUGAGGACAAACAGAUAAGAAGGCAUCCUGCUGUACGAGACAGGAAUUUGGAGCGCGAGACAAGAGAUGUGCACCUUUCUUUCAUCUUUAUCACAGCUGGUUGAAUAAUCUUUGGUAGGUCACAGAUAUCUCUGUUAAAUGGACCUGCUCUGUGUCCUGCAGGAUCCUUGUGAUGAUGAACUUAGGGGAACAUGUGGCAGAAAGUAUCAGCUUUGCAUAAAUAUCAGAUGACCAAUCUGUUGCAAGACUUGGGGUAGACAAAUGAUUCUAGUCAAGAGAAGGAGAGUUGAACUGAGUUUCCCAGGCCCUGAACUUGCCCGGGUCCUUGCCUCCUGGAAAAGGAAAAGGACAAAAGCCAAAUCGAA